This 253-nucleotide ribosomal RNA is filed under the name uncultured bacterium. Its description in RNAcentral is "partial 16S ribosomal RNA". It matches the Rfam family "Bacterial small subunit ribosomal RNA", at positions 524 to 776 of the family's 1533-position model. The record is from RNAcentral.
UACGGAGGGUGCGAGCGUUAUCCGGAAUAACUGGGCGUAAAGGGCACGCAGGUGGGUUAUUAAGUCUGGUGUGAAAUCCCAGGGCUUAACCUGGGAAUGGCAUUUGAAACUGGGAGUCUAGAGUGCUUUAGGGAAAGGUGGAAUUCCACGUGUAGCGGUGAAAUGCGUAGAGAUUAGGAGGAAUACCAAAGGCGAAGGCAGCCUUUUGGGCUGUUACUGACACUCAUGUGCGAAAGCGUGGGGAGCAAACAGG